Molecule: ribosomal RNA, 474 nt
Filed under: uncultured bacterium
Lineage: Bacteria
Description: bacterial SSU rRNA
Rfam family: Bacterial small subunit ribosomal RNA
Source: RNAcentral
CGGCAUGCCUUACACAUGCAAGUCGAACGGCAGCACGGGAGCAAUCCUGGUGGGCGAGUGGCGAACGGGUGAGUAAUAUAUCGGAACGUGCCCAGUCGUGGGGGGAUAACGUAGCGAAAGCUACGCUAAUACCGCAUACGAUCUAUGGAUGAAAGCGGGGGAUCGCAAGACCUCGCGCGAUUGGAGCGGCCGAUAUCAGAUUAGGUAGUUGGUGAGGUAAAGGCUCACCAAGCCGACGAUCUGUAGCUGGUCUGAGAGGACGACCAGCCACACUGGGACUGAGACACGGCCCAGACUCCUACGGGAGGCAGCAGUGGGGAAUUUUGGACAAUGGGCGCAAGCCUGAUCCAGCAAUGCCGCGUGCAGGAUGAAGGCCUUCGGGUUGUAAACUGCUUUUGUACGGAACGAAACGGUGAGCUCUAAUACAGUUUGCUAAUGACGGUACCGUAAGAAUAAGCACCGGCUAACUACGUG